GGGACCAGGUGUAAAGGAGUGGCUGAAGGCAGAGGAGAUGCAGAGGUGUGCUUGAUUGACAGCAGAGGGAGACAGUGUAAAACAACACUGAAAGACGCUCUAUACAUUCCCUCAUUUCCACUGAAUAUCUUCUCUGUGAGAGCGGCCACUGCGAAUGGAGCUACUAUCAUCUUUAAGAAAGGAAGGAACGUCCUUCAACACAGAGGCGGUACAAAGUUCUACAUCCAUGAGCACAACAGACUUUAUUACCUUGAAACUGUAAGUGAGUAUGAUAAGUGUAAUAAUUGUUUUGAUGUGCAGACAUGGCACGAAAUUUUGGGACAUUGCAAUCAUAGUGACAUUCUGAAGUUACAAAAUGUGGUUGAAGGUAUGAAAAUCAAAGGGAAAACAGACAACCAAAGUUUGAACUGUGAGGUGUGUAUCCAGGGAAAAUUUGUCCAGACUAGGAAUAGAAACCCUGACAGAAGAGCCGAGAAACCUCUCAAGCUGGUACAUGCGGAUCUAGCAGGGCCGAUAGAUCCAGAAUCACGAGAUGGACACAGAUAUGCAUUAUUGUUUACCGAUGAUUUUUCCGGUGCAGUAUUUGUAUAUUUUCUCAAAAACAAACGUGAAACAGUGCAAGCAACUGAAAUCUUUUUGGCCGAUACAGCCCCACACGGGAAGGUAAAGUGUAUCAGGUCAGACAAUGGCACAGAGUUCAUGGCAAAGAGUUAUCAGGCAUUGUUAAACAAACAUGGAAUAAGACAUGAAACUUCAGCCCCAUAUUCCCCUCACCAGAAUGGUACAGCAGAACGUGGCUGGAGAACACUUUUUGAUAUGGGAAGGUGCAUGCUUAUUGAGAGUACCGUACCAAAGGAAUUAUGGACAUAUGCAGUUCAAACAGCGGCUAUUGUGAGAAACAGGUGCUUUAACAACCAGACAGGACAGACACCUUACUUUUUGCUGACUGGGCGGAAGCCUAAUCUAUCCAGAAUGCGAAAGUUUGGGUGUGAGUGUUAUGCUUACAAGCAAGACAAGGGGAAGCUCAAUUCUAGGUGUACAAAAGGGAUUUUUGUAGGCUACGACAAAAACAGUCCAGCAUACAAGGUUUAUUUCCCAGACAGCGCUAAAGUGCAAAAGUUUAGGCUGGUUAAGUUUGUAACCAAACACAAUGAGGAAAAGCAAACACAAACUGAUACGACAUCUGAGGAUGAGGACAUAAAGGUGAGGGAGAGACCAAAUGUGAACAGGGAAAGCCCCAGUACCAGUUCACAGGAACCAGGUACUGACAACCAACCAGAAGUGAACAGUCAGACACCACUUAGUGAUGAGACUGAAAACUCCAGAAGGUAUCCUUCUAGAACAAGAAAGAAACCAGAUUAUCUAAAUGAAUAUGAGUCAGGAGAAGACAUUGAUGAUCAAGUGCUAACCAACAUAGACUACUGAUAAGUAACUCACCCGUGACAUUCAGUGAAGCUGUAAAGUCACCCAACUCUAAAGAGUGGAAAGCAGCUAUAGAUGAGGAAAUGCAAUCCUUAAAAGAGAACACCUUUACCCUAACAAGCUUACCUGAGGGAAAGAAAGCAGUGGGGGGUAGAUGGGUAUAUGUGAAGAAAAACAGUGGUGAUGGAGCAGAAAAAUAUAAAGCAUGCUAUGUAGCUAAAGGUUACAACCAGUGCUUUGGGAUAGACUAUGACAAAACUUUUUCUCCGACUGCUAACCUGACAAGUAUAAGAGUAUUGAUGCAGUGUGCGAUACAAGAAAACCUGAUUUUGCAUCAGAUGGAUGUAAAAACUGCAUACUUGCAUGCACCAAUAGACUUUGAAGUUUACGUUGAGCAGCCGGAAGGCUAUGAAGUGAAAGGAAAAAUGGAUGAGAAACUGGUCUAUAAGCUGGAAAAGUCACUUUAUGGGCUUGAACAGUCAGGCCGAAACUGGAACAGGACAUUACAUGACUAUUUGAUAGAGAACAGUUUCAUGCAGAGUCCUGUAGAUCAUUGUGUUUACACAAGGAAAACAAGAAAAGACAAAGUGAUCAUGAUCAUAUGGGUUCAUGAUAUUAUUAUUGCAGCCAGUGAUGAAAGUGUUUUGAAAACUGUGAAGGGAAUGCUAACUACAAGGUUCAAAAUGAAAUAUAUGGGGAAACUCAAACAUUUUCUUGGUAUUGAUUUUGAGCAAACCAAAGAUUGUGUAAAAAUGUCACAAGAGAGAUAUGUAGAAAACAUACUGGAAAGAUUUCAAAUGCAAGACUGUAAACCAAGAUCAACUCCUUCUGAACAAAAGUUGAACAACAAUGAUGAUGCUGAGAAAAUGAACAAUGUCAGAAUGUACAGAGAGGCAGUAGGCAGCCUUAUUACUUGACCUCUUGCACACGACCAGAUUUGAGUUUUGUUGUAAGUAAGCUGUCACAGCACUUCAAAGAACCAACUCUGGAACAUUGGACAACUGUGAAACAUGCUCUAAGGUAUUUGAAACAAUCAAAAGACAAGACAUUGUGCUAUAGGAAAAGUGACAAAGAUCUGAGAGUACAUGGUCACAGUGACUCAGACUGGGCUGCAGAUGUGACUGACAGGAGUAACUACAGGUUACUGCAUAAGCCUGAAUGAAAAAGGUACUUUGGUGUCAUGGCGAACAAAGAAGCAGCCAACUGUUGCCUUGUCAACUUGUGAAGCAGAGUACAUAGCUUUGGCAGCAACAACACAAGAAUAUUUGUACUUGACACAACUGUUGCAAAGCAUGUAUGAGCAUCAAAAGGGACCACCAAAGCUUUUUGAGGACAAUCAAGGGACUAUUGCAUUGGCAAAGAAUCCUGUUAACAGACAGAGGUGUAAGCAUAUCAAUAUCAAGUAUCAUUUUGUAAGAUCAACAGUUAAUGCUGGAAAUUUGAUGUUGGAAUAUUGUUCGACAGGUCUGAUGGUGGCCGAUGUUAUGACAAAGCCAGCAACAAAGGGGAAGUUAUUGAAGUUUGAGAAAUAUAUGUUUGGAGUGUAAACAAAUAGUAAAGAAAAAAAAACUGUUUCAAGUGGGGGUGUUGAGCUAGUUAAUAGGUAUGCCCUCAUUGUCAUCUGUUGUGAUUUUAUUUUGAAAGGAUGCUUCCUGUUAUGAUGUGGAGUAUACUUGAGAGUUCAAUAAACAAAGUCACAUUGGUGUGAAUGUUCCGGUACAAACCGAUGCCGCACGUGUGAUUAUUCCUCCAUCUAGAUAAUAAGUAUCUUCAGUAUUCAUGCAGAUUCCGCUGGAAGACCCGUCUCUGCUAACAGCUAACCUUUGAACAUGCUAUUAUCAAAAAUUGUGAAAUGGAUGGAAAGAUAUUGUGAUAAGAUUCUCUGCUCAAAGUGACCUGCACACAGUUCUAAUGUGUGGGGAGGUCAUUUAUACAAAUGUAAUGGCCUUCUCUUCCUGCAAAGCUACAAACAAGCUACAUUAAUUACACGUAUUAAUUGCAUCUAGGUGCUAAACGAGGUGCUAACCAAAAAUUUUGCACACUGGAUAAGAACUGAAGAACCGCAGGUCAUACUGCUAGUGACACAACAAAUUAAUAGCCCUCUGUAAACAUAAUUUACAGGUGUCUUACAGAGCAGGUGUGCUCUAAUAAAGCGCAUGGAGGUUGCAGUAUGACAUAAGUAAAUGAAAUUAGCUUGAAAUUAAUUGAGCUACACAUAUUAAGUUACAC
This is a long non-coding RNA of Oreochromis aureus, 3651 nucleotides long. The record is from Ensembl. Lineage: Eukaryota; Metazoa; Chordata; Actinopteri; Cichliformes; Cichlidae.